GUGCCAGCCGCCGCGGUAAUACCGGCAGCUCAAGUGAUGUCCCAUAUUAUUGGGCCUAAAGCGUCCGUAGCUGGCCGCACAAGUCCGUCGGUAAAUCCGCCCGCUCAACGGGCGGCCGUCCGGCGGAACCUGUGUGGCUUGGGACCGUGAGGCCUGAGGGGUACGAUCGGGGUAGGAGUGAAAUCCUGUAAUCCCGCACGGACCACCGAUGGCGAAAGCACUUCGAGAAAACGGAUCCGACAGUGAGGGACGAAAGCCAGGGUCUCCAACCGGAUUAGAAACCCUAGUAGUCC
Molecule: ribosomal RNA, 293 nt
Filed under: uncultured bacterium
Lineage: Bacteria
Description: partial 16S ribosomal RNA
Rfam family: Archaeal small subunit ribosomal RNA
Source: RNAcentral